UUGCCCCCCGCCCCGCUCCCGGCCUCCGUACACACACUGCGCCUUUCACACUCGGGCUGCCCCCGGCCCCCCUCCCCUUCUCUCUCCUUUGCAGUGUCUUCACAUGCAAUCUCUCUCUGAAUGUGCAAUGUCUUUCCUGCUCGGGAGUGCCUCGUCCUUCACAGUGGAUUGGUUCCUCUUUCCGAGCAGAGUGAUUGGAAAGACGGGGUCACGGCUGAAAUACGCAGUGUUUGUUCGGCUGCGUCCCGGCGAACCCUACGCCCUCCGCCUUCAGCCCGGGACGGUUCGGUUCUGCAGUUCGGGAAUGUCGGUGCCUCUGACCAGAGCGUUACCUUUCUGCUCUGCAGUCGGAGCUAACCUCAAGAGACGGGUUAUUUAAUCAUUUAUAUAGCUUUGUACGAUAAUCAAUGCAUAUUGUUAUUAGUUUGUGCGCACACAAGAAAGCACAUCAAAGAAGGCAGAAAAAAAAAAUCAGGUGAGCUAGGAAAUAACAUAUUCAUAAUAAUACCAGGAAAAGGUUAAAUACAGUAAACAUGACAGCAAACUCGAACGCGGGGGAAAAACAACGAAAAAAGCCCCACAGAAAUCAGUUAAAAACGUUUGGCUGAAGGGAGAAACUAACUCAAGAACUCCACCAAGGGACAAACAGGGGAAAUGACACCACAACAGCUCUAAGCCCGAGUUGACCUUUCAUCUCCCUAAAGUGUCCCACUGCUCUGGCGCAGUUCUGUUGUGAUCUCUGCACCUCCCUCUCCCCACCUCCGAGCUCCCGAGUUGGCCGCAGUGUUUGCGCACCGAGGUCGCAGAAUUACAAGGAGGGCUGACACGUGCCCGGUGCCUUUUACAGCUUUGCAGAAACACUCACUGUGUAGCAGUGUGAAGAGGACAGAAAUGAUUAAAUUAUUCAUUGCAGCCUUCCUGAUGGACAUUAAAACUUAAGUGUUUAAAUAAGGAAACCGAAGAUUUUCUUUUAAGCCGAUAAUAACUGCAUCUGUGCUGGUUGAACUGUAUGCUGGCUAAACGUGGAACUGGUUAUGUUGUUUAAAUCCUCUUUUACUCACUGCGAGCAGUUUGAACUGGAUUGCACUACAAGUUACUGUAAGAGCAAACAGAGUUUAAAUCUUACAUAGUUAUAACUGCUUGUUCUUAAAACAGUAUUUGAGGUCUGUUCAAAAUACAAGGUCACUAUUUUUCAUCGACAUCAUUCCACCAACCUGAGUUCUUACAUUUACAAGGAAUCAUUCCAAGUAACAUUAAGUAAAAGUGGUAGUAGCUCAAUUUUUUAUAUUUAUUUACUUCUUUCUGUGUAGAUUGCCUCUACAAUUUGCAAUGAUUAAGCCUGAGGCCUUGACACUUUUCUCUUUUUUUUCUUUUUGUUUGUUUUAAAAAGUCAUAAAUCUGUAGGAUCAGCUCUGAAAGAUCAUUUCCAGACAGCAUUGUUGGCAGUGGUUUUGUUUUGUUUGUUUGUUUUGUUUUGUUUUUUUCAGGUGUCAAAAUAUCCAAGCAUUCACAAACAUGCAGCAGUGUUCCCAGCUGUCUUAUUUUCAGCUGGGACAGAAUAUUAUACUUGAAAUCAGAAGGAAAGAGUAUUGAAAAGUUUUUAAAGUGCAUACAGAUUUUCACGAGGGAAGGCAGAUAUGGGGUAUCUUUAUGCUUUACUGAGAACGACUGGAUUUUCUGAACUUGUAGGAAUACAGACAAGUGCUGCACACUGUUCCACACAUUUAUAGAUUUUUAUUUUUAUUUUUAAUUUAAACUACUGUUCCAUUUCUUUAAAUACAAAGAAAACUGUAGGAAAAAAUAAAAGUAGUUAUGAUGAGCGUGCAUGAAUUCAUAGCAAAACCAGGGAAAAUAUGAAUUAUUAGUAUGCAUUCUACUUUAGGAGAAACAAUGAGACGUUCAGGAAAGAUAAUUAAGUCUGGAUCUAAUUUUAAUGAAAUGUAUGAAAACCAGGUAGCACUGACAAAUAAAGAAAAAUAUGAUAACUGUCUCUGUGAAUAUUAGAUGUGUACAGUUGUUACACGUAUGGACUCACCAGCACAGAACACCACUGUUAAUUUUAGAAAUAAUGUAGGAUUUAUUUAUUUAUUUAUUUAUUUAUUUUGCUACAGCAUUUUAUAUUUUUAAAUGUAUAUUUUUAAAUAUAAAUUUAAUAUCAACAGUGAGCACAUUUAAGGUCUCAAAGCACUGUGUAAAUUAUCUCUGAGAUGGAAGGAACUGCAGUGACCUGUUCAGUCACCCAGUAAGCCACUAACAAAUGUCUCUUUCCAGGUUCCUCAGACCACAGCUUUGCACUUCUGCAGUUUUUGAGUGUAUCCUGGAUUUGGCUUGGUAUUCAUCUCUUAAUACAUGGCAGUUAUUUCCUCUUAUUUUAAUGGACUGCUGGAAAGUCAAAGCAGCUCAUUCUAAAGAGAAUUUAGAACAAAUGUGUGUACCAGAGAACUACACAUACAAAAGAAAGUCUUGUACCCUGCAAUGUACUGGGUACCAGUAAAACAUAUCAAACUGUUAUACUGGAAUAAAGUUAUUCUUAAGUUUUUA
This is a non-coding RNA of Coturnix japonica (Japanese quail), 2541 nucleotides long. The record is from RefSeq and is a predicted model, not a curated record. Lineage: Eukaryota; Metazoa; Chordata; Aves; Galliformes; Phasianidae.